CAAAAAUGAACUUCUACUAAGUUCGCCACGUCCUGUGGUAACGUAGAAGUCAGCGCGUCGUGCGCA
Molecule: non-coding RNA, 66 nt
Organism: Bacillus coahuilensis m4-4
Lineage: Bacteria; Bacillati; Bacillota; Bacilli; Caryophanales; Bacillaceae
Source: Rfam